Molecule: ribosomal RNA, 254 nt
Filed under: uncultured bacterium
Lineage: Bacteria
Description: partial 16S ribosomal RNA
Rfam family: Bacterial small subunit ribosomal RNA
Source: RNAcentral
UACGGGGGGAGCAAGCGUUGUUCGGAUUUACUGGGCGUAAAGGGCGCGUAGGCGGCCACCGCAAGUCGACUGUGAAAUCUCCGGGCUUAACCCGGAAAGGUCAGCCGAUACUGCGGGGCUAGAGUGCAGAAGGGGCAACUGGAAUUCUCGGUGUAGCGGUGAAAUGCGCAGAUAUCAGGAGGAACACCAAUGGCGAAGGCAGCUCGCUGGGACGGUACUGACGCUGAGACGCGAAAGCGUGGGGAGCAAACAGG